GGAGAUUCCGCUCGAUGCCUUCCAUCAGGUUUUCAAAGCAGAGAUGCAUGGCCUGCUGCUUCUCUGGCGGCUGGCUGUUGACGAUACUGUUCCUUAGGUCAGAAAAAUACUGUGGGGACAAGGAUGGAAACAAGGGUACCAGGGAUCGAACUCAUGACUGCACGCUUACAAGGCAGGCGUUUAUGCCACUGAGCUAAAUCCCCAGCCCCAAUUCUUGAUGUUUUUUUCUCCAGGGGAUGAAAGGAAUGGAGACACAUGAAGGAUAGGUGGGAAACACCUCCAGGGACAAACUGCAGAUACAGCACCAUGACUUCAUUUCUUUCCCUGUAUCCCUCGCCCCCUAAGAAAGCACAGUGGAAAACCUGAGUGAAUGCUGAACAAGUAAGAAUGACGUUA
Cavia porcellus (domestic guinea pig) is the source of this 396-nucleotide long non-coding RNA. RefSeq lists it as uncharacterized. NCBI's taxonomy places the organism in Eukaryota, Metazoa, Chordata, Mammalia, Rodentia, Caviidae. The record is from RefSeq and is a predicted model, not a curated record. The transcript has 2 exons.